UUAUAUUCAAAAGUAUCAGAUAGCGUAAAUGUAAUACACGAGUUGAGGUCUAUUUAUAGAUUACAAUUGAGGGUAAAAAGGUAAAAUCAAUACCCACGCAUGCUCCUUGCGUGGUCGAAGGGUAGAACAGUAAUUUUGCCUUUACGCGGGAAGUCUCCCGCGUCUCUGACGAUCCCACUGAUGGAGGUGAUCUCUCUGGCGAUGAUGACUUCUCUGACGAUGAUGAUCUCUCUGUCGAAGAUGACUUCUCUGACGAAUGUGAUUCCUCUGGCGAUGAUGACUUCUCUGACGAUGAUGAUCUCUCUGUCGAAGAUGACUUCUCUGACGGAUGUGAUUCCUC
RNAcentral lists this long non-coding RNA (340 nucleotides) under Salvia miltiorrhiza (redroot sage). Its description in RNAcentral is "long non-coding RNA (SMIL_LNC002044)". Lineage: Eukaryota; Viridiplantae; Streptophyta; Magnoliopsida; Lamiales; Lamiaceae. The record is from RNAcentral.